UUCUGCACAUGCGCAGUCUGCUCCCGGGGGCGCGUGGGGAGUUGUGCGCAUGCGCAGGGAAAAAGGCGGGAAAGGAGUGGAGGUCUCAAUGUGGGUCAGGAAGAAGCAGACCCACUGCUCUGACAGCUCCCCAUGACUCACGCUUCGCGGAAUGGGCGUAGAAACGCGGAGUUUGGCAAGGCUCGUUUACCACGAAGCGCUCAUUAAGGAGUGACUAAUUGGGAAAUGAACGCACGCGGGGAGCAGCGAUGGGGCAAUGGAGGAAGCUCUCAUCCUGUGUGGAAACACCGCGUGGCAGUGCUGCUUUUUUUGUUUGUUUUUUUUUUUGCUAAAGUAGCUGAAAAAUAUGUUUUUGUUU
Long non-coding RNA from Phasianus colchicus (ring-necked pheasant), 358 nucleotides. RefSeq lists it as uncharacterized. The record is from RefSeq and is a predicted model, not a curated record. NCBI's taxonomy places the organism in Eukaryota, Metazoa, Chordata, Aves, Galliformes, Phasianidae.